AGUAGAUUGGGAAACUCAUCAAACAUAUAUGAAAUGCCGAGAACAACUCUGUCAUCUAAUGGCGGGCCCCAUCCUCAGCCUUCGGGCGCAGGAGCAUCGCGGGAGAUAUCUCCCCGAUAGCCAGGCGGAUUACAAAGGAUGGCAAGAACUCAAAACUUGUCUUUCGGAGUUUCAUCGCAUCCUUUG
RNAcentral lists this small RNA (186 nucleotides) under human gut metagenome. Its description in RNAcentral is "Bacteroidales-1 6S-Bacteroidales RNA suggested". It matches the Rfam family "Bacteroidales-1 6S-Bacteroidales RNA suggested", at positions 13 to 166 of the family's 179-position model. The record is from RNAcentral.